CUACUUGAAUUGCAGAACUCCGUGAACCAAUGGCCUCUUGAACGUGCAUUGCGCUCUUGGGAUAUGCCUGAGAGCAUGUCUGCUUCAGUGCUUCUACUUUCAUUUUCUGCUGCUUGUUAUCGGGAGCAGUGUUGCUGCAUGCUUCUGCAAAAGGCACUGGCAUGCUAAGUAUCAAGUUUUGCUUGCUGUUCUGACUGAUCAACAACUCAUGUCGUUUCAGUUGGCGAAACAAAAGCUGAAGUGUGUUCUUAACACUUCCUAGCAUGAAGUCAGACAAGUGAACCCGCUGAACUUAAGCAUAUGGAUCCCCA
RNAcentral lists this ribosomal RNA (311 nucleotides) under Symbiodinium sp. clade A. RNAcentral's name for it is "eukaryotic LSU rRNA". The stretch from base 1 to 93 matches the Rfam family "5.8S ribosomal RNA", at positions 58 to 154 of the family's 154-position model. Lineage: Eukaryota; Dinophyceae; Suessiales; Symbiodiniaceae. The record is from RNAcentral.